UUUUUUUAAAUUUAAAUUAUUUUUAUUUUUUUUAAUUAAUAAUAAUAAUUUUAAAAAAAAGUUAUAUCCCCCCCCUCCCUUCUUACCUUUAGCCUGGGAGGGGGGGGGGGCCGUUUUGCCUGGGACGGGGGGGAGCCGUUCUGCCAUGGGAGAGCCAUGCUGCCU
Non-coding RNA from Pelobates cultripes (western spadefoot toad), 165 nucleotides. The record is from the annotation of a GenBank genome assembly. NCBI's taxonomy places the organism in Eukaryota, Metazoa, Chordata, Amphibia, Anura, Pelobatidae.